UCGCCUACACUGGGUUUUUAUUGACCCACGAAAGAUUUCUGCUUGUCGAGCGUCCACGUGGAGAGAAGAAGAAUGCUGAGUGUUGCUUGUCAUAAUGUAGUCCAUUAGACUACAUUUUCUAAUGUUUGCCGGCAUAACCAAAAUGUUGUGAACAAUGGGAACAACAACAUGCUGAGAACAUGAGGACAUGGAGAAGCAAUGUUCUUGAAUUGCAGGUGACCUGCCAAUGCAGUAAAAAGCUGCAAGAGUAACAUGAACUUGCUUGAGUCACUUUGAUGCUGUAUUGUGUUGUAUUGAUGUGUAGCUGAACUAACAAAACUUAAUUGUAUAAAUAAAAACCUAAUGCUUGA
This is a long non-coding RNA of Triplophysa rosa, 350 nucleotides long. RefSeq lists it as uncharacterized. The record is from RefSeq and is a predicted model, not a curated record. The transcript has 4 exons. NCBI's taxonomy places the organism in Eukaryota, Metazoa, Chordata, Actinopteri, Cypriniformes, Nemacheilidae.